This 373-nucleotide ribosomal RNA is filed under the name uncultured bacterium. Its description in RNAcentral is "bacterial SSU rRNA". It matches the Rfam family "Bacterial small subunit ribosomal RNA", at positions 524 to 898 of the family's 1533-position model. The record is from RNAcentral.
UACGGAGAGGGCGAGCGUUGUUCGGAUUUACUGGGCGUAAAGGGCAUGUAGGCGGCUGGAUAAGCUCCGGGUGAAAUUUAUCCGCUCAACGGAUAACCGAAUCGGAGAACUAUCUAGCUUGAGUUCAGGAGAAGAGAGUGGAAUUCUCGGUGUAGCGGUGAAAUGCGUAGAUAUCGAGAAGAACACCAGCGGCGAAGGCGGCUCUCUAUUCUGAAACUGACGCUCAAAUGCGAAAGCGGGGGGAGCGAAUGGGAUUAGAUACCCCAGUAGUCCACGCUGUAAACGGUGUGCAAUUGGUGUAUUCCUUUCUGAGGGGUGCGCCGAAGCUAACGCAUUAAGUGCACCGCCUGGGGACUACGGCCGCAAGGCUAAA